AGUUUGCACCUUGCUCCACUCACUGGCCUGCGGUCUGUGUUCACUCCUCCUCCUCUCCCACGUCUCAGGAACCUGCAGCUGGCCCCCGAGCCCGCGCCCUCCCGGUUCUAGGAAUUCACCACUUUCUUGCCUUUGUUUGGGUAUCUUUUGUUUGGAGCCAGAGCCGGCUCCAAGGAGGAGCUGCCGGAGGGUGCUAGGCUUUUUGCAGAGGAAGUGAGGAGCAGAGUGAUAGGGCGUGAAGUCAGAGGGAGCAGAGAAGGGGCCGAAUCCAGCGGGGCCCGGAUCAUGCAGGGCCCGGAGCCUGUGGUGAGGACUCCGGGAUUUAUAUUCACCAAUUAUGAGAAAGGACUUCUCGGCCGGGCGCGGUGGCUCACACCUGUAAUCCCAGCACUUUGGGAGGCUGAGGCCGGCGGAUCGCCUAAGGUCAGGAGUUCGGGACCACCCUGGACAACAUGGUGAAACUUUGUCUCUACUAAAAAUACAAAAAUUAGCCAGGCGUGGUGGUACAUGCCUGCAAUCCCAGAUACUUGGGAGGCUGAGGCAGGAGAAUCGCUUGAACCCAGGAGGCGGAGGUUGCCGUGAGCCGAGAUCGUGCCACUGUACUCCAGCCUGGGCAACAAGAGCGAAACUCCGUCAAAAAAAAAAAGAAGAAGAAGAAGAAGAAGAAAAGAAAAAAGCAAAGAAAGAAAAGAAAGAGGACUUAUCAAUGACCACAAAUGACUAAGUCCUCAACCUCUCCAACAGCUCUAGAGCAAAUGACACUUUAGCCUGUGCUGAGCCCCUACAAGGUGCUAGACCAAGUAUUCUUGGGGAUAUAUACAAAUGUGAACAAGCCAGAGACCCUGCCUGGCAGGACUCACUGUCCAGGGGGAAGGCAAAACUGCAAAGAUGAGCUGGGACGCCCCAUGGGAAACGCUGGACAGAGUCAGCCACAAAGCCAUCCCCUUGCAGCCUCCUCCUUGGCAUGGCCUUAUUUUCCUUGUUGGAUCCCUAGUGUCCUACCCCAUGCCAGGUCCCACCCCAGGAGGGUCCAGUUCACACUUCCAGAAAGUUUGGGCUGCACUGUCCCA
RNAcentral lists this long non-coding RNA (1070 nucleotides) under Homo sapiens (human). Its description in RNAcentral is "HSALNT0317602". The record is from RNAcentral. Lineage: Eukaryota; Metazoa; Chordata; Mammalia; Primates; Hominidae.